RNAcentral lists this ribosomal RNA (460 nucleotides) under uncultured bacterium. Its description in RNAcentral is "bacterial SSU rRNA". It matches the Rfam family "Bacterial small subunit ribosomal RNA", at positions 327 to 800 of the family's 1533-position model. The record is from RNAcentral.
GCUGUGGAACUCCUACGGGAGGCAGCAGUGGGGAAUAUUGGACAAUGGGCGAAAGCCUGAUCCAGCAAUGCCGCGUGAGUGAUGAAGGCCUUAGGGUUGUAAAGCUCUUUUACCCGGGAUGAUAAUGACAGUACCGGGAGAAUAAGCUCCGGCUAACUCCGUGCCAGCAGCCGCGGUAAUACGGAGGGAGCUAGCGUUAUUCGGAAUUACUGGGCGUAAAGCGCACGUAGGCGGCUUUGUAAGUUAGAGGUGAAAGCCUGGAGCUCAACUCCAGAAUUGCCUUUAAGACUGCAUCGCUUGAAUCCAGGAGAGGUGAGUGGAAUUCCGAGUGUAGAGGUGAAAUUCGUAGAUAUUCGGAAGAACACCAGUGGCGAAGGCGGCUCACUGGACUGGUAUUGACGCUGAGGUGCGAAAGCGUGGGGAGCAAACAGGAUUAGAAACCCUGGUAGUCCUACCACGU